AUUCAGUCGACGAGUCCUAAAUACGACGAAAUGCGCAUCCUGGAU
RNAcentral lists this non-coding RNA (45 nucleotides) under Trichobilharzia regenti. Lineage: Eukaryota; Metazoa; Platyhelminthes; Trematoda; Strigeidida; Schistosomatidae. The record is from RNAcentral.